This is a long non-coding RNA of Bubalus bubalis (water buffalo), 989 nucleotides long. RefSeq lists it as uncharacterized. The record is from RefSeq and is a predicted model, not a curated record. Lineage: Eukaryota; Metazoa; Chordata; Mammalia; Artiodactyla; Bovidae. The transcript has 3 exons.
GCGACUCCGGAGCCGGGCAGGGACCGGGCAGAAGGGCAGGAACGGGAGGCUCGGGCACCGCGCGCCCCCUGCCGGACGGGAGGACACGGGACCGAGCCGACAUCACACUCCAGUUGACCGGUGGGCCGACUGGAUCGGUCUGGGAUCCUGCCGAAAUCACUCCCCUAGUAAAUUCAAACCCACAGACUCGUCAUUUGAAGGCCGGAAGAGAGAGUGGGGUUUUUCGGGAAACAGUACAGGCCUUAGCUCAAUGUCCACCCAAAGAAAUGAAGUAGAAGUUUCCUCUGGGUCCUACCCAGUGCUGGUAGAUCGCUUCUACGUGCCCUGGCAAAUUGGCUUGCACUCCAGCAGGCGGACUGUAAGAGUGAUUACUGCUAAGCUGGGGCACAUCCACCUCAUUUAAUGGCUUACAACUAGUGAAGAAUCUGGCAGCAGGACAGGGAAGACCUCUUGAAUAUUAGCAAACCAGAAUGAAUCUCCAGAACAGGAGUCAAAGGUGAAAAAUACCCGAUUCAGACCCUGCGCCCAAGAACUGAGCUGGGGCAGCAGUCCAAGUCUGAAGCUGCUGCUGUUCCACACGUGUGUGAAAGCCAGAUGGGAUUCUGCCUCCAAACCACUCCCCCAGGGUUCCAGCCAGGUUCAUGCCUCUUCUGCCUCUUCCCGCACUGAGGAGCAUCAGACUGAACCUGCAUGUUGGGGCAGUGACAGCAAGGGCCUCAGGGUCCCGGUCCCUUGGAAGGAGGCCUUUGUAAGAGCUUUCCCAGCAAUGUAUGUAAAGCCACAAGGUCCCCUGAGGCAAACCACCACUCCAAGAGGUGACACGUCUACACCAGGGAAUGGACGGACCAGUACCGUGGUCUCCGGGAUCCUGCCAGAAGUGCGGCUGAGCAGGAGACCCACCACUGCUGUGUGUGUGUGGCUAAAUCAACUUACCUUACAAGAGCAGUGACAGUCUCUGAUUUUGUAUCCUUUUGAACUGGAGCUGAAUU